UCGAAACAGAAGCCGCCUCGAGCCCCUCACCCCUUUCUCUUUUUCUCUCCCAUGACACGCAACCUUUCCUUCCUCUUUUUCCCCCGAUCUGCUCGUUCCAAUUCUUGGCCAUCGGAAGGAGGCAGCCAGGGGAUGGGAAGGCCGAGCGGAAGAGAAGGAUGAGGGGACGCGGCUGUGAGUACGCCACCGACCAUGCCGAUCGGGUGGGAAGAGAAGUCGGCGGCGGCGGCGGUUUCGAUCUGUGAUCUGCCACCAGCGCCGCCGGAGGGACGGAAGAAAGCAUCUGAGAUGGCUGCAGGGGCGGCGCGGGCCUGGGCUCGGGCAGCCAUCAUGGCGUUAGAUGCGCCGGCGGGGGCCUCUUCCUCGUAGCAAGGCGUGGCCCUGCUCUUUCCCAUGGCGCUGAUGACAAGGCGGGCGGCGACACCAGCUCUCGUCCCGAGGAAGCCGCGGGAGGACGAGUACAAGCCAGACCAGAUCGACGUGCCGCCCUGCCACAACUCCUUCUCCUGCGGGUUGGUUGCUGCUGUUGCUGGUGCUGUUCGUGUCCGAUUCGAUUGGCCUGCCGUUUGCGGGAGGCUGCAAGAUUUGUUGGAACCAAUUUUGAAAAGACUGAAUCUACCACGUAUCCAAAUGGAGCAGCUGCAAUCGUUAUAUACCCAGAAUGAUGCUUUUAUAUGUCUGAAUUUUCACAAGUAUUGCUAAACUUGGCCCUAGCGAAGUGGCAAGUGUACUGCUGUAGUUAGCCUACUACUUCAGUUAUAUGAACCUACAAAUGGCAAGUGAGCUCUUUUUAUCUUUUGCUAUUACGUUCAUCCCUUCUUCCAGGACUUCCUGAUUUAGAGAAGAAUAGAUAUAGUGAAGUGCACUCUAUGGUGUGUUUUCUUUUGUUUCCGAUUAUGCUGCUGCUUGAUCUAUAACUAAAGGGUACAUAGUCCAACUCUGUAUUCUGAGAAAUGCAUUUUUUACUCCGCUUCGUAGUAAUAUGUUUUUCACCAACAUAUAUUGUGACAGGAAAGAGAUGUUUCAUGAAUUGACAAAUAAAUUUUGGCACCUGCUGUUCUCACCUCUCGAUGCUUUGCAUCUGAUAAGUAUGCCAUAGGUUUUAAGGCGACACUUUUGUCAUGCAAAGCGGAACUAAAGUAGCAAAUAACAGAAAUUGUGAUUUCUGUAAUGCACAUCUGCUAAAAAAAACUUAUGAGUUAAGAAAAGAAAAUAUGUUGUCGAAAAAAUUUAGGGCAGCUUACAUAAGAAUCAAAUCCUAUAUUGAUUACAGGUCUUUUUACUAUGAUGUUUUUCCUUGCAUUGUUCUUUUUUUGGCUGGAUUUUUACCUUUCACUGUUACAUCAUAUCUUUGUUCGCCUUGAGGUACAUAUUUCUCUUAUCAACAAUUCUAGCACAACAUUCGAAAGAAAUACUUAAAUUCCUUUUGAUUAUAAGACAUGCAGAGUUAAAAAAUAGUUAGAAUUUGAGAAUCAACUAGGAGUGAGGUUAAAGUACUGAUCCCUCUUUAUCCCUGUAACUUCAUCUACCAAAUUUCCUUUUGUUUUAAUGGCAGACUGGUUAGUUGAUUCCUACGGAUUUCUUCUCUAAUAAGGUCAUGGUGACGUAUACCAGAGUCCCAAAAUAUUUAUCAUUCUUUGAAGCUUUGCAAGGGGGAAGGCUAAGACAUGGAUCAAAUUUUCGGAAACAAGCCGUGUGGACUCAAAUUAAGUGCGGAUGAAACCCUCUGAGGCUCUGACCAUAAAGGUAGGACAGAUGGGAAGCAGCAUUUCAGAGCGUAACGACUGGUGAGAUGACGCCUCCUUGGUCUGCUUCAUGGCUCCAUGGACGUGGUCCUGACUGCGGUGGAUUUUAGUCUUGUUUCCUUCUUUGCAACGACCAUGCUGCUACCCCUCUUUGCUAACAUGUGUUCUGUUUUUGCAGAUUGGUGUGAAGUGAGCACACAUUUGUUGAUCGUUAGUCUACCGCUUGUUUCCUGUUCUCUUCAUUACUUCCUUCCUGCCGUACCACUGGAUCGCGACAGUUAUUGGAAGAUGAUGAACAAGUACAUAGGAUCAGAUGUAAUGUCAGUUAUUACACUUCUAAUCAUCAUCUUUGAGCCUUUGGGAAAAUGGCAGAGGUUUGUACUGAUGGACUAUGCCCUUAAGUUUCCCUCUAUACCACGCUGGAACGUCUAGACCACAAGAGGAACAUAAAACAUUUUGAUGUUAGAGGUUCUCACAUCCUGAAGACACAAUACUUGCCAUAUGGUGUCAACCAAGAACUUUUUUUGCUUUGGCUGUUGAAUAUAUCACAUUUUCUCAAUCUAUCUACCAGGAUGAACUCUUGCAUCUUGAUAGAUAAUCUUGCUAUUCUGAUGUGUGGUCAUGCAAACUUCCUUUUUUCUUUGAGAUUUAAAAAAUAAAUUGUGGAACAGGUGGGUGAAAGAAAACAUGUUGUACCAGCUACAUUUUGCAUGGCAAAAGUUGGCAU
Molecule: non-coding RNA, 2472 nt
Organism: Triticum urartu
Lineage: Eukaryota; Viridiplantae; Streptophyta; Magnoliopsida; Poales; Poaceae
Source: RefSeq, a predicted model, not a curated record